UUCAAUUUUUUGAGUAAUGAGUAUUUUUUAGAUCCUCCACAGCCUGACCCUGCUGCUCCACCAGGCACUACUAACACUAGUCCCCUGCCUAAUCCUUGGGGUGGAGCUACUGGAGGAAGCAAUUCUGGAAAUCAGAGUUCUGGAUCAGGCAACAACACUGGUGGUAGUGGGAGUGGUCAAAAUGCAGCCACGCCUCUCGGUGGGAGUGGUCAAGCUAAUUUAUUGGCUCAGAUGAUGGCUGGAGCUCAGGCUGGAAGUG
Molecule: long non-coding RNA, 259 nt
Organism: Amphimedon queenslandica
Lineage: Eukaryota; Metazoa; Porifera; Demospongiae; Haplosclerida; Niphatidae
Exons: 3
Source: RefSeq, a predicted model, not a curated record